GAGCCCUGUGCGUGGCCUGUCCGUCUGGCGGCGGCUGACGGGCUCCAUUCCAGAGCCAUAGCAGGUCAGUGACGGGACUGACAGGCUCACUGGUGGCUCGGUCUCAGGCCUUGGAGACGAGC
This 122-nucleotide small nucleolar RNA is filed under the name Myotis lucifugus (little brown bat). The record is from RNAcentral. Lineage: Eukaryota; Metazoa; Chordata; Mammalia; Chiroptera; Vespertilionidae.